Molecule: ribosomal RNA, 433 nt
Filed under: uncultured bacterium
Lineage: Bacteria
Description: partial 16S ribosomal RNA
Rfam family: Bacterial small subunit ribosomal RNA
Source: RNAcentral
AACGAACGCUGGCGGCAUGCCUAACACAUGCAAGUCGAACGAGACCUUCGGGUCUAGUGGCGCACGGGUGCGUAACGCGUGGGAACCUGCCCUUAGGUUCGGAAUAACUCCCCGAAAGGGGUGCUAAUACCGGAUAAUGUCUUCGGACCAAAGAUUUAUCGCCUUUGGAUGGGCCCGCGUUGGAUUAGCUAGUUGGUAGGGUAAAAGCCUACCAAGGCGACGAUCCAUAGCUGGUCUGAGAGGAUGAUCAGCCACACUGGGACUGAGACACGGCCCAGACUCUUACGGGAGGCAGCAGUGGGGGAUAUUGGACAAUGGGCGAAAGCCUGAUCCAGCAAUGCCGCGUGAGUGAUGAAGGCCUUAGGGUUGUAAAGCUCUUUUACCCGGGAUGAUAAUGACAGUACCGGGAGAAUAAGCUCCGGCUAACUCCGUG